CACGACCGAUUCUGGAUUGGUAGGUUGAGGUAAUGGCUCACCAAGCCUUUAACCGGUACGGGCCGUGAGAGCGGUAGCCCGGAGAUGGGUACUGAGACAAGGACCCAGGCCCUACGGGGCGCAGCAGUCGCGAAAACUCCGCAAUGCACGAAAGUGUGACGGGGCUACCCCGAGUGCCAUCCGCUGAGGAUGGCUUUUCCUUGGUAUAACUAGCCGAGGGAAUAAGGAGAGGGCAAGACUGGUGUCAGCCGCCGCGGUAAUACCAGCUCUCCGAGUGGUAGGGAUGAUUAUUGGGCUUAAAGCGUCCGUAGCCGGCUUAUCUAGUCUCCUGUUAAAUUCAGCGACCUAAUCGUUGAUCCGCGGGAGAUACUACUAGGCUAGGAGGCGGGAGAGGUCGACGGUACUUCUGGGGUAGGGGUGAAAUCCUAUAAUCCCAGGAGGACCACCAGUGGCGAAGGCUGUCGACUAGAACGCGCUCGACGGUGAGGGACGAAAGCUGGGGGAGCGAACCGGAUUAGAUACCCGGGUAGUCCCAGCCGUAAACGAUGCGGGCUAGGUGUUGGGGUGGCUACGUGCCACUUCAGUGCCGCAGGGAAGCCAUUAAGCCCGCCGCCUGGGGGAGUACGGCCGCAA
This 633-nucleotide ribosomal RNA is filed under the name uncultured archaeon. RNAcentral's name for it is "bacterial SSU rRNA". It matches the Rfam family "Archaeal small subunit ribosomal RNA", at positions 210 to 846 of the family's 1478-position model. The record is from RNAcentral.